This 1372-nucleotide ribosomal RNA is filed under the name uncultured bacterium. RNAcentral describes it as "bacterial SSU rRNA". It matches the Rfam family "Bacterial small subunit ribosomal RNA", at positions 28 to 1381 of the family's 1533-position model. The record is from RNAcentral.
GAUGAACGCUGGCGGCGUGCCUAAUACAUGCAAGUCGAGCGAACGGACGAGAAGCUUGCUUCUCUGAUGUUAGCGGCGGACGGGUGAGUAACACGUGGAUAACCUACCUAUAAGACUGGGAUAACUUCGGGAAACCGGAGCUAAUACCGGAUGAUAUUUUGAACCGCAUGGUUCAAAAGUGAAAGACGGUCUUGCUGUCACUUAUAGAUGGAUCCGCGCUGCAUUAGCUAGUUGGUAAGGUAACGGCUUACCAAGGCAACGAUGCAUAGCCGACCUGAGAGGGUGAUCGGCCACACUGGAACUGAGACACGGUCCAGACUCCUACGGGAGGCAGCAGUAGGGAAUCUUCCGCAAUGGGCGAAAGCCUGACGGAGCAACGCCGCGUGAGUGAUGAAGGUCUUCGGAUCGUAAAACUCUGUUAUUAGGGAAGAACAUAUGUGUAAGUAACUGUGCACAUCUUGACGGUACCUAAUCAGAAAGCCACGGCUAACUACGUGCCAGCAGCCGCGGUAAUACGUAGGUGGCAAGCGUUAUCCGGAAUUAUUGGGCGUAAAGCGCGCGUAGGCGGUUUUUUAAGUCUGAUGUGAAAGCCCACGGCUCAACCGUGGAGGGUCAUUGGAAACUGGAAAACUUGAGUGCAGAAGAGGAAAGUGGAAUUCCAUGUGUAGCGGUGAAAUGCGCAGAGAUAUGGAGGAACACCAGUGGCGAAGGCGACUUUCUGGUCUGUAACUGACGCUGAUGUGCGAAAGCGUGGGGAUCAAACAGGAUUAGAUACCCUGGUAGUCCACGCCGUAAACGAUGAGUGCUAAGUGUUAGGGGGUUUCCGCCCCUUAGUGCUGCAGCUAACGCAUUAAGCACUCCGCCUGGGGAGUACGACCGCAAGGUUGAAACUCAAAGGAAUUGACGGGGACCCGCACAAGCGGUGGAGCAUGUGGUUUAAUUCGAAGCAACGCGAAGAACCUUACCAAAUCUUGACAUCCUUUGACAACUCUAGAGAUAGAGCCUUCCCCCUCGGGGGACAAAGUGACAGGUGGUGCAUGGUUGUCGUCAGCUCGUGUCGUGAGAUGUUGGGUUAAGUCCCGCAACGAGCGCAACCCUUAAGCUUAGUUGCCAUCAUUAAGUUGGGCACUCUAAGUUGACUGCCGGUGACAAACCGGAGGAAGGUGGGGAUGACGUCAAAUCAUCAUGCCCCUUAUGAUUUGGGCUACACACGUGCUACAAUGGACAAUACAAAGGGCAGCGAAACCGCGAGGUCGAGCAAAUCCCAUAAAGUUGUUCUCAGUUCGGAUUGUAGUCUGCAACUCGACUACAUGAAGCUGGAAUCGCUAGUAAUCGUAGAUCAGCAUGCUACGGUGAAUACGUUCCCGGGUCU